GGGUUGUGAGGUUAAGCGACUAAGCGUACACGGUGGAUGCCCUGGCAGUCAGAGGCGAUGAAGGACGUGCUAAUCUGCGAAAAGCGUCGGUAAGGUGAUAUGAACCGUUAUAACCGGCGAUGUCCGAAUGGGGAAACCCAGUGUGAUUCGUCACACUAUCGUUAACUGAAUACAUAGGUUAACGAGGCGAACCGGGGGAACUGAAACAUCUAAGUACCCCGAGGAAAAGAAAUCAACCGAGAUUCCCCCAGUAGCGGCGAGCGAACGGGGAGCAGCCCAGAGUCUGAAUCAGCUUGUGUGUUAGUGGAACGGUCUGGAAAGUCCGACGGUACAGGGUGAUAGUCCCGUACACCAAAAUGCACAGGUUGUGAACUCGAAGAGUAGGGCGGGACACGUGGUAUCCUGUCUGAAUAUGGGGGGACCAUCCUCCAAGGCUAAAUACUCCUGACUGACCGAUAGUGAACCAGUACCGUGAGGGAAAGGCGAAAAGAACCCCGGCGAGGGGAGUGAAAAAGAACCUGAAACCGUGUACGUACAAGCAGUGGGAGCACCUUCGGGUGUGACUGCGUACCUUUUGUAUAAUGGGUCAGCGACUUAUAUUCUGUAGCAAGGUUAACCGUAUAGGGGAGCCGCAGGGAAACCGAGUCUUAACUGGGCGUUAAGUUGCAGGGUAUAGACCCGAAACCCGGUGAUCUAGCCAUGGGCAGGUUGAAGGUUGGGUAACACUAACUGGAGGACCGAACCGACUAAUGUUGAAAAAUUAGCGGAUGACUUGUGGCUGGGGGUGAAAGGCCAAUCAAACCGGGAGAUAGCUGGUUCUCCCCGAAAGCUAUUUAGGUAGCGCCUCGUGAAUUCAUCUUCGGGGGUAGAGCACUGUUUCGGCUAGGGGGUCAUCCCGACUUACCAACCCGAUGCAAACUACGAAUACCGAAGAAUGUUAUCACGGGAGACACACGGCGGGUGCUAACGUCCGUCGUGAAGAGGGAAACAACCCAGACCGCCAGCUAAGGUCCCAAAGUCAUGGUUAAGUGGGAAACGAUGUGGGAAGGCACAGACAGCCAGGAUGUUGGCUUAGAAGCAGCCAUCAUUUAAAGAAAGCGUAAUAGCUCACUGGUCGAGUCGGCCUGCGCGGAAGAUGUAACGGGGCUAAACCAUGCACCGAAGCUGCGGCAGCGACACUAUGUGUUGUUGGGUAGGGGAGCGUUCUGUAAGCCUGCGAAGGUGACCUGUGAGGGUUGCUGGAGGUAUCAGAAGUGCGAAUGCUGACAUAAGUAACGAUAAAGCGGGUGAAAAGCCCGCUCGCCGGAAGACCAAGGGUUCCUGUCCAACGUUAAUCGGGGCAGGGUGAGUCGACCCCUAAGGCGAGGCCGAAAGGCGUAGUCGAUGGGAAACAGGUUAAUAUUCCUGUACUUGGUGUUACUGCGAAGGGGGGACGGAGAAGGCUAUGUUAGCCGGGCGACGGUUGUCCCGGUUUAAGCAUGUAGGCUGAUUAUCCAGGCAAAUCCGGAUAAUCAAGGCUGAGGUGUGAUGACGAGGCACUACGGUGCUGAAGUAACAAAUGCCCUGCUUCCAGGAAAAGCCUCUAAGCAUCAGGUAACAUCAAAUCGUACCCCAAACCGACACAGGUGGUCAGGUAGAGAAUACCAAGGCGCUUGAGAGAACUCGGGUGAAGGAACUAGGCAAAAUGGUGCCGUAACUUCGGGAGAAGGCACGCUGGUGUGUAGGUGAAGCCCCUGCGGGUGGAGCUGAGACCAGUCGAAGAUACCAGCUGGCUGCAACUGUUUAUUAAAAACACAGCACUGUGCAAACACGAAAGUGGACGUAUACGGUGUGACGCCUGCCCGGUGCCGGAAGGUUAAUUGAUGGGGUUAUCCGUAAGGAGAAGCUCUUGAUCGAAGCCCCGGUAAACGGCGGCCGUAACUAUAACGGUCCUAAGGUAGCGAAAUUCCUUGUCGGGUAAGUUCCGACCUGCACGAAUGGCGUAAUGAUGGCCAGGCUGUCUCCACCCGAGACUCAGUGAAAUUGAACUCGCUGUGAAGAUGCAGUGUACCCGCGGCAAGACGGAAAGACCCCGUGAACCUUUACUAUAGCUUGACACUGAACAUUGAGCCUUGAUGUGUAGGAUAGGUGGGAGGCUUUGAAGCGUGGACGCCAGUCUGCGUGGAGCCAACCUUGAAAUACCACCCUUUAAUGUUUGAUGUUCUAACGUUGGCCCCUUACCGGGGUUGCGGACAGUGUCUGGUGGGUAGUUUGACUGGGGCGGUCUCCUCCCAAAGCGUAACGGAGGAGCACGAAGGUUAGCUAAUCCUGGUCGGACAUCAGGAGGUUAGUGCAAUGGCAUAAGCUAGCUUGACUGCGAGCGUGACGGCGCGAGCAGGUGCGAAAGCAGGUCAUAGUGAUCCGGUGGUUCUGAAUGGAAGGGCCAUCGCUCAACGGAUAAAAGGUACUCCGGGGAUAACAGGCUGAUACCGCCCAAGAGUUCAUAUCGACGGCGGUGUUUGGCACCUCGAUGUCGGCUCAUCACAUCCUGGGGCUGAAGUAGGUCCCAAGGGUAUGGCUGUUCGCCAUUUAAAGUGGUACGCGAGCUGGGUUUAGAACGUCGUGAGACAGUUCGGUCCCUAUCUGCCGUGGGCGCUGGAGAAUUGAGGGGGGCUGCUCCUAGUACGAGAGGACCGGAGUGGACGCAUCACUGGUGUUCGGGUUGUCAUGCCAAUGGCACUGCCCGGUAGCUAAAUGCGGAAGAGAUAAGUGCUGAAAGCAUCUAAGCACGAAACUUGCCCCGAGAUGAGUUCUCCCUGAGACUUUAAGUCUCCUGAAGGAACGUUGAAGACGACGACGUUGAUAGGCCGGGUGUGUAAGCGCAGCGAUGCGUUGAGCUAACCGGUACUAAUGAACCGUGAGGCUUAACCUUACAACGCCGAAG
RNAcentral lists this ribosomal RNA (2923 nucleotides) under Klebsiella pneumoniae. RNAcentral describes it as "bacterial LSU rRNA". It matches the Rfam family "Bacterial large subunit ribosomal RNA". The record is from RNAcentral. Lineage: Bacteria; Pseudomonadati; Pseudomonadota; Gammaproteobacteria; Enterobacterales; Enterobacteriaceae.